Molecule: long non-coding RNA, 1592 nt
Filed under: Salmo salar (Atlantic salmon)
Lineage: Eukaryota; Metazoa; Chordata; Actinopteri; Salmoniformes; Salmonidae
Description: lncRNA (ENSSSAG00000103353.1)
Source: RNAcentral
UGGGAAUCGGGAUGGCAGGCGGAGCACUCCUCGUCCAUCUCAGAUGAGUAUACACGUUCCCACUGCACCUUGGUCCAAUCCUUACGACGCCCAUUACAGAACUACCCACCACCAACGGACCAAGCAGCGGGGUAAGGAGCUGGAGAGGAGCUAUCGGGAGUCGUGGACCUGGGAGGAGAUCCUAGCAGGAGAGGGACCAUGGAGGAAGGCUGGAGAGGACCGGGAGUGUUUUGCUGGAACAAGGUUGGCAUGGAAGCCUGAUAGGCAGCCCCAAAACAAUUUUUUUGGGGGGAGGGGCACACGGGUAGUUUGGCUGGGCCAGGGUUGAGCCCUAAGCCAACUCCCCGUGCUUAUCAGAGGCAGCGUGGUACUGGUCAGGCCCGGUGCUAUGGGCUGACGUGUAUGGCGUCGAGGCCAAGCAUCCAGAGGCCGGUAUGCUCGGUACCAGCGUCCUGCAUUUGCCGGGGGGAAGCGGGCACCCAGCCAGUAAGGGUGGUGCCAGUCCUGCACUCGAGACCGCCAGUGCGCCUUCACGGCCCAGUGUAUCCUGUUCCUGCUCCCCGCACUAGCCCUGAGGUGCGUGUCUCCAGUCUGGCGUCUCCAAAGCCAGCACCACGCACCAGGCCUUCAGUGCGUCAGCCCAGUCCAAGAUGUCCUGUUCCCGCUCCUCGCACUAGCCUUGGGGUGCGUGUCUCCAGUCUGUUACCUCCACUACCAGCCCCACGCACCAGGCCUUCAGUGCGUCAGCCCAGUCCAGCUCGUCCUGCUCCUGCUCCUCGCACUAGCCCUGUGGUGCGUGUCCCUAGUCUGGCACUUCCUAAGCCAGCUCCACGCAUCAGGUCUUCAGUGCGCAGUCCCCGUCCAGAGCUUCCGGCAACAGUGCCUCGUCCAGAGUGUCCGGCAACAGUGCCUCGUCCAGAGUGUCCGGCGACAGUGCCCCGUCCAGAGUGUCCGGCGACAGUGCCCCGUCCAGAGUGUCCGGCAACAGUGCCCCGUCCAGAGCUUCCGGCGACAGUGCCCCGUAGAGAGAUGGCCCACAGUCCGGAACCGAGAGAGACGGCCCACAGUCCGGAACCGAGAGAGACGGCCCACAGUCCGGAACCGAGAGAGAAGGCCCACAGUCCGGAACCGAUAGAGACGGUCCACAGUCCGGAACCGAGAGAGAUGGCCCACAGUCCGGAGCCGAGAGAGACGGCCCACAGUCCGGAGCCGAGAGAGACGGCCCACAGUCCGGAGCCGAGAGAGACGGCCCACAGUCCGGAGCCGAGAGAGACGGCCCACAGUCCGGAGCCGAGAGAGACGGCCCACAGUCCGGAGCCGAGAGAGACGGCCUACAGUCCGGAAUCGGAGCCGAGAGAGACGGCCCACAGUCCGGAGCCGAGAGAGACGGCCUACAGUCCGGAAUUGGCGCAGCGAGAGUCGCCCUACAGUCCGGAAUCGGCGCAGCAAGAGUCGCCCUACAGUCCGCAAUCGGCGCAGCGAGAGUUGCCCUACAGUCCGGAAUCGGCGCAGCCAGAGUCGCCCUACAGUCCGGAAUCGGCGCAGCCAGAGUCGCCCUACAGUCCGGAAUCGGCGCAGCCAGAGUCGCCCUA